GAGGGGCCCAGAGAUAUCACUCUCAAUCAGAGAGGGGCAAAUCCCAUCUUGAUUGACCAUAUCUCAUAGCAUGCUUCUUGACAAACCCGAAAGCUACCUUUAUAACUACCCUGUUACGGCGUAGCGUUUGAUAGCCCCUAAGUAGGUCUAUCCACAUCUUGAAUACAUGCGACAAUCUCAGGUCUAAGGACAAAGCGUAUAUGUUGUUUAAAGAGAGAACUACUUCUCGUGUUGGGUCAGUCCUAGCACAUGUCUCCACAUGUGUCCACAUUAUUAGUUCAACAUCUCCAUGUCCAUGACUUGUGAAACAUAGUCAUCAACUAAUACAUGUGCUAGUCUAAUAUUCCUGUGUGUCCUCACAUGAACUCCGACUAGGGACAACUUUAGAAUUACCAUACAAGUAAAGAGUUUCACAUACAAUUCACAUAAUUUGCAAGUCAAUUCAAGUAGCCUUUAAUGGAUAUUCAAUGAACACAAUAUACAAAUCAUGGAUACAAAUGGAAUAUCAUCAUCUCUAUGAUUGCCUCUAGGGCAUACCUCCAACAGUCUCCCU
This 553-nucleotide long non-coding RNA is filed under the name Setaria viridis. RNAcentral's name for it is "long non-coding RNA (SVIR_LNC008988)". The record is from RNAcentral. Lineage: Eukaryota; Viridiplantae; Streptophyta; Magnoliopsida; Poales; Poaceae.